CCUACGGGCGGCAGCAGUGAGGAAUAUUGGUCAAUGGCCGUAAGGCUGAACCAGCCAAGUCGCGUGAAGGAAGAAGGAUCUAUGGUUUGUAAACUUCUUUUAUAGGGGAAUAAAGGUAUCCACGUGUGGAUAUUUGCAUGUACCCUAUGAAUAAGCAUCGGCUAACUCCGUGCCAGCAGCCGCGGUAAUACGGAGGAUGCGAGCGUUAUCCGGAUUUAUUGGGUUUAAAGGGUGCGUAGGUUGUUUUUUAAGUCAGCGGUGAAAGUUUGUGGCUCAACCAUAAAAUUGCCGUUGAAACUGGCUGUCUUGAGAUGUCGAGAGGUAUGCGGAAUGCGCAGUGUAGCGGUGAAAUGCUUAGAUAUUGCGCAGAACUCCGAUUGCGAAGGCAGCAUACCGGCGGCGAUCUGACGCUGAGGCACGAAAGCGUGGGUAUCGAACAGGAUUAGAUACCCCAGUAGUC
Molecule: ribosomal RNA, 460 nt
Filed under: uncultured bacterium
Lineage: Bacteria
Description: partial 16S ribosomal RNA
Rfam family: Bacterial small subunit ribosomal RNA
Source: RNAcentral